UCCUUGGAGGUCUAGUGACCAAGACUCCACGCUCCUGAUGCAGGGGGCCCAGGUUCAAUCCCUGGUCAGGGAA
This 73-nucleotide transfer RNA is filed under the name Bos taurus (domestic cattle). It matches the Rfam family "tRNA". From Rfam's summary of the family: Transfer RNA (tRNA) molecules are approximately 80 nucleotides in length. Their secondary structure includes four short double-helical elements and three loops (D, anti-codon, and T loops). Further hydrogen bonds mediate the characteristic L-shaped molecular structure. tRNAs have two regions of fundamental functional importance: the anti-codon, which is responsible for specific mRNA codon recognition, and the 3' end, to which the tRNAs corresponding amino acid is attached (by aminoacyl-tRNA synthetases). tRNAs cope with the degeneracy of the genetic code in two manners: having more than one tRNA (with a specific anti-codon) for a particular amino acid; and 'wobble' base-pairing, i.e. permitting non-standard base-pairing at the 3rd anti-codon position. Lineage: Eukaryota; Metazoa; Chordata; Mammalia; Artiodactyla; Bovidae. RNAcentral also lists the same sequence under 2 other names. The record is from Rfam by way of RNAcentral.